RNAcentral lists this ribosomal RNA (470 nucleotides) under uncultured bacterium. Its description in RNAcentral is "SSU rRNA". It matches the Rfam family "Bacterial small subunit ribosomal RNA", at positions 26 to 518 of the family's 1533-position model. The record is from RNAcentral.
AGGACGAACGCUUGCGACGUGCCUAAGAAAUGCAAGUCGAACGGACAGUAGCAAUACUGUUAGUGGCGAACGGUCGCGUAACACGUGGGCAACCUGCCCUGAAGCGGGGGACAACAACUUGAAAGAGUUGCUAAUACCGCAUGUGAAUUGCCUUGGCAUCAAGGCGUAUUCAAAGCCGCAAGGCACUUCAGGAUGGGCCCGCGGCCUAUCAGCUAGUUGGUGAGGUAACGGCCCACCAAGGCUUCGACGGGUAGCUGGUCUGAGAGGACGAUCAGCCGGAUUGGGACUGAGAUACGGCCCAGACUCCUACGGGGGGCAGCAAUUAGGAAUCUUGCGCAAUGGGCGAAAGCCUGACGCAGCGACGUCGCGUGAAGGAUGAAAUCUUUCGGGAUGUAAACUUCUUUUACCAGGGAAGAAUAAUGACGGUACCUGGUGUAAUAAGCCCCGGCUAACUACGUGCCAGCAGCCGC